CGCAUCUGUGCAUGCAGCAUAUCAAUAAGCGGAGGAAAAGAAACUAACAAGGAUUCCCCUAGUAACGGCGAGUGAAGUGGGAAGAGCUCAAAUUUGAAAUCUUAAAGGGUUUCCCUUUACGAAUUGUAGUUUAAAGAAGUGUUUUCUGUUGAGGUUUUGGUAAAAGUUCUUUGGAAUAGGACAUCAUAGAGGGUGAGAAUCCCGUAUUUGGCCUUUACUUUCAACUUUGUGAUACACUUUCAAAGAGUCGGAUUGUUUGGGAAUGCAGUCCAAAAUGGGUGGUAAAUUUCAUCUAAAGCUAAAUAUUGGCGAGAGACCGAUAGCGAACAAGUACCGUGAGGGAAAGAUGAAAAGAACUUUGAAAAGAGAGUUAAACAGUACGUGAAAUUGUCAAAAGGGAAGCGUUUGACACCAGUGUUGUUUUUCUGAAAAUCAAUUAAAGAACUGUUUAUGCUAAGUUGUUUAGACUUUAUCAGCUAACUGUUUAGUUUUGAGCUUUUCUUUAAUGCACUUUUCAGUUAACAAGUCAACAUCAAUUUCUUUUGCUGUAAAAAAGCUUGAGGAAGGUGGCUUGAGAUUCGUCUUAAGUGUUUAUAGCCUCUUGCCUAUGCAGUCGGAGAGAUUGAGGUCUGCAGCGUAGAUCCUUCGGGGCUAAAUGCAUUUGUGCUAAGUUAUAACAUUUUAUAGACAACUUGUUGACUAUGAUUUGUCUUGUAGCUUACUCGCUUAUGUUAUUUUACCUACGCUUAGGAUGUUGACAGCAGUAUAGACUGU
This 774-nucleotide ribosomal RNA is filed under the name uncultured Neocallimastigales. RNAcentral describes it as "partial large subunit ribosomal RNA". It matches the Rfam family "Eukaryotic large subunit ribosomal RNA", at positions 26 to 637 of the family's 3401-position model. Lineage: Eukaryota; Fungi; Neocallimastigomycota; Neocallimastigomycetes; Neocallimastigales. The record is from RNAcentral.